RNAcentral lists this ribosomal RNA (484 nucleotides) under uncultured bacterium. Its description in RNAcentral is "bacterial SSU rRNA". It matches the Rfam family "Bacterial small subunit ribosomal RNA", at positions 8 to 481 of the family's 1533-position model. The record is from RNAcentral.
AGAGUUUGAUCCUGGCUCAGAGUGAACGCUGGCGGCAGGCCUAACACAUGCAAGUCGAACGGCGGCACAGCAGCAGCAAUACUGUGGGUGGCGAGUGGCGGACGGGUGAGGAAUGCGUCGGAAUCUGCCUUUUUGUGGGGGAUAACGUAGGGAAACUUACGCUAAUACCGCAUACGACCUACGGGUGAAAGUGGGGGACCUUCGGGCCUCACGCAGAAAGAUGAGCCGACGCCGGAUUAGCUAGUUGGCGGGGUAAAGGCCCACCAAGGCGACGAUCCGUAGCUGGUCUGAGAGGAUGAUCAGCCACACUGGGACUGAGACACGGCCCAGACUCCUACGGGAGGCAGCAGUGGGGAAUAUUGGACAAUGGGCGCAAGCCUGAUCCAGCCAUGCCGCGUGUGUGAAGAAGGCCUUCGGGUUGUAAAGCACUUUUGUCCGGAAAGAAAAGCUUCGGGUUAAUAACCUGGAGUCAUGACGGUACCGA